This is a long non-coding RNA of Zea mays, 3090 nucleotides long. RefSeq lists it as uncharacterized. Lineage: Eukaryota; Viridiplantae; Streptophyta; Magnoliopsida; Poales; Poaceae. The record is from RefSeq and is a predicted model, not a curated record. The transcript has 2 exons.
AGAAACAAGCGUAACUCUUACCCGAUCAUCCUUCUCUGAAAAACAACAAAUAAGGAAGAGUGAGUACUUACGUACCCAGCAGCCCACUUUCACCCAUGGAAUGGGAAAAUCAGAUAUAAUGCAUGGAGUAUGUGGAGAUCAGGAUAUUUUUUUGCAGAAAAAACAAAUUUUGAUGUAGGGCUAUUUUGUAAAGCAUUUUAUCAUUUCAAAGUGCAUCCGCUCCCAAAUGAGCAGAAAGUUUUUCAAUAUAGAACAAAAUCUCCUGAACUAAACCAUACAGGAAUCUCGUUAGUUUCCCACCGGUUUUCAUUUAAAAAACAACUACUGGACUUCCCGUCCACCAUAGCUCACGGCUCAACCGUUGGACCUUUUAAAACCAUUUUUCAAAAGUAUUUUUGGAAAACAGAACAAUAAUUGUCAAACCAAACCAUAACUCAUACAUAUCCGUGGACGCGGACUAUUCAAAUAAGUUUUUGAACUCAGCGCAGAAGUGUACACUUUACCCACUAGUCCGGUUCUGCGAUCUCAUGGCCAAUGAGACCUGAAUCUGAAACUCUUUCCUCCCUUGCACGACUUUACCUUAACAGUUAUACCGAAAGGAACAAGGCCACCUCCAUGUCCAAAACAGGACAAAACAUCCCCCCUCCUUGUUCUCCUGGUGCUCUCCAGCCACCAUAACCCUGGGGUGCAGACCGUGCAAGUUCGGAUCAAGCGACUACCCAUACAGUCUCGAGUGGUUGUACUUAUUAAGAGUAUAAGAAGUGAAGAAUGACAAACCGGUCCUUAUACGAGAGGGACAAUCCUUCAUGCUUACACCUAAUCUUGCUGAGCCAUCACCUUAAGGCCCUCCCAAACUAGGGAGUCCCUUAUCAUCCCGCUCAAAGGUGAUAAGGGUGAUAACCCUUCAUCAUACACAUUUUGAAAACAUUUUCUUUUGAAAAUCUCACACAUUUUCUCAAAUCAUUUUGUAACAAAAAAAUUUAAGAAGUAUAAAGAUGAAUUGCAGUAAAAUUCUAAGGUUGGGUGGCCAUAUUAACAUGUCUCUUAGCAACAAAAUCAUAUAAUACAUAAAAUAACAGACUGAAGGAUGCGUUUGAAAACAUAGGUAAUUUAUGCAUCAAAUGGAUCCAGUGAGCUUGCCGUGCUUUAACCGGUGAAAUGGUGAGAGCUCGCGAACUGGCCUUCACGAGACAGCAUGAACGCUCCGAUAACUACACAGCAAGGCCAAUCAAACAUACAAACCAACAAGUAUAUUAACAAAUGUUCAAUAUAGUGGUCAAUAAUGGUGAUAUAUGGAUGAGUAGAGUCUUGAGCAGAAUCUGUGUCAUGUGGUGUUGUGAUAUUACUGGUGGAGUGGUGGUGCUUACCAGAAGGGUGGAUUGGAGGCGAAGCGACACUUGACGUGUAGUCGGCAGAGCGGGGUAACUGAGUGAGUGGGGGUUUACCUUGGCUCAGGGUGUUGAGGGUGUGGAGAGGGAGAUUGUAACUAGGUGUAUUUAUAGCUGGGUACAUGUGGUUUAGUACGGUAGAGUUCACUGUUUAUGAGAAUAGUGGCGAAGGAAUUGUCUGACUCAGUUCAAAUAGGGAAAUUAUAAGCAAAAUAUAGGACAAGAGUAUUUUUGGAGUUUUCUGAAAUAUGAACUAUGCUUAAGGGUUGACAUGGUUGGAUAGAGGAUAUUUUGAUAAGAAUUUUAAAACAACAAUUGUCGAAAUAUGAGUUUGAACAGAGGAGUUUUGGAUUUUAUAAUCAUAGGAAAUAGAAAAAGAAAAGGAAAAAAGAAUAUUCCUAGAAUAUUCUAAAAUUUGAAUAUUUGGGGAUAUUUGUAAAAUCAUGUAUUUUUGAGCGGAGUGUCAGGAAUUAUUUCUGGGCUAUUCAUGAGCAGAGGUUUAUGUUGGUGGCAACUGUUGCUACCUACUGUAUAACAUGGGACAAUAGUAUGGCGGGACCCAGAUAGCUAGAAUAUUGUGAUAUUCUGGUCUGGGUGGGCUGUGGUAUCUUGGGUCAGGUUUUAUAGGAUUGACGACAUAUCCAUACAAACAUGGUUCACCUUUCUUUUUAGAAGCAUGGUUUGAAAGGACCUCAAAGUUAAGCGCGCUCAACUUGGAGCAAUUCUGGUAUGAGUGACUAACACUAACCGAAAAGUUCUUACUGGAAGGAAAAUCACAGUCACCAUAGUUUGUAUAACUGAGAUAUUGGUCUGGUAGGUCUUAGGUGAGCUGAUCAUCAUGAUGGAUGCAGUUGAAUAUUUAGGCGAUCGGAUGAACGAUGAAUAGUAGGAUGAAUGCUCUCAAACGAUUCUUCGUUACCUCCAAGGUUGUUUUGACACCCGUAGGUCUACCUCUGGUUACGCCGUUUUUCUUGUUGACAACCUCAUAUCUUGGUCAUCCAAGCGUCAUAACACAGUCUCCCGCUCCUGUGCUGAAGCAGAGUACCAUGCUGUUGCAAAUGGUGUUGCAGUGGCUUCUUGGUUGCGCCAGCUGCUUCUAGAACUGCACUCACCAUUGACUCACAGUUGCCUGUUUUAUUGUGACAACGUUAGUGCCAUCUACAUGUCAUCCAAUCCAGUUCAGCAUGAGCGCACAAAGCACAUUGAGAUUGAUCUGCACUUCGUUCGCGACAAGGUGGCCAUUGGUGAUGUCCGAGUUCUUCAUGUUCCAACGACGUCGCAGUUUGCUGAUAUUUUCAUUAAAGGCCUUCCUACUUCAGUUUUCUCCGAUUUUCGGUCCAGUCUCAACGUCUGUAGUAGCUAGAGUUGGGAGUGCGGGGGUGUUAGAAUACUUGUAUUAGGCCUUUGGUGUGAGUGGGGCUGGGUUGUCAUAUGCUUAUGCACAGACCCGGCCCAUGGAUGUUGCGCCAUCCCCUUUUAGGAGGGUUUCCCUGUGCUGCUUCCCUUCUAGGCGGCUUCCUUAUGUAGCCUUUCCUCCUGGAAGGUUUCCAUCUGGGAUCUUUCCUUCCCUAUUCACAACAGUCAUAGGGUUUCCUUCUCUUGUCUGCCUAUUUAUACUGGCCUUCUAAGGCUGUCAAUACAUCACAACAUUUAGCGACUCAUACACUUUCCAACAAUUUCUAAUACAUCCUCUGCUCUGUCA